AUUUAAGUAUUUGUGCCUUUAAAGGUUUCCGGUUACUAAAGUAAUACUUUCUGAAGACUUUUUAUUCAACUUGUAUUCAUAAUAAAGUCGUUAAACCCCAAACUUUCUCCGUCUCUUCCAUCAGGGACACUCAUUCCCUCCUAUGUUGAGCAAAAACAUACACUGAUCUCUUCACUGGGGCUAAUCUUCUUACUAAUCACAAGGUUUGACCGUUGAAACGGAACAAAGUUCACACCGUCGGCUCCAGUGAUACCUCGGCAGAAAACAGAAACCAGAGACAAAAGGAGAAGGAGAACACCUGAAAGCAUGAUCCUUUUCCCUCAGAGUUCCUCUGAAUCCAAAGAUAACCUUUCUUACCUCCCAAACAGCGAUGGGAAAACGGUGACCUUUGCUUUGGCUGCUGAAGGUUUCCAUGUCAGGAACUACCAGAGUACAAAACCUGAAACAUAUUCAGCAUGGAGGUACUGAGUGGCCCCUGGGCUGAUCUGGCUCUGCUCCUGCGACAGACAGCUCUGCUGUCAGACCAGCAGCAGGACACACUGGUCUGUCUGCUUCUUGUCGUGCUGUUUCUGUCCGUCUCUCUGCUGCUGCUGCAACUGAUCGUCUACCUCAGCUGGAAACUCAGACAAGCAGAGGCUGAGCUCGCUGCGUUUCCACGGCAACAAGAUGCCAUCCACAGGCAGGUGAACCAAAGUGCACAUCGCAGGAGGAGUUUUGGUUCUCAUUCAUACAGCUGACGGGGCUCAAAGACAAUGAAGGAAUGAUUUAUUACGGAUGUUGACGGUAGUCCAAACAGAAAAACACUUCCAGAAGGUGAUUGGAAUAUGUGAGAUGAAGAAAAGAGAGCGGAGGAUUUUUGGAUAAUAACAAUCCUUUAUUUGAACAGUGUUACACAGGGAGCAGGAGUGGCUGCAUGUGGAGGAACAAGACAACGAAGCUGCUAAACAAAAAUCCAAGCAACAGUUAGCAAACUAAGAGCAACGCGGCAGCUGGCUGGUUUUUCCCAAACCUGCCAUUUUAUAACUCUUUAUAAACUGUUUUGAGUUCUUAUUUUCUGCUUUAGAAAAUACAAAAUUGUGCUGCUUUCUCUUUAACGUAACAAGCCAGUAAGGUUUAGAAGUUUCCAAAAUUCUGCUGAAAUUGCAGUCACUGAGUGAAGAGAUCCCUGAUAGUAAUCAGAUGAGCUGGCAUUGAAUCGACUUUUAAUAAAAUGAUGCAUCAAAAACA
This is a long non-coding RNA of Oryzias melastigma (Indian medaka), 1227 nucleotides long. RefSeq lists it as uncharacterized. The transcript has 3 exons. NCBI's taxonomy places the organism in Eukaryota, Metazoa, Chordata, Actinopteri, Beloniformes, Adrianichthyidae. The record is from RefSeq and is a predicted model, not a curated record.